ACGGAAUUGAAUUUUUAAGCCUCCAAGACUUUAUUAACCUAUUCUAAAACUUCUUACAGGAAAUUCAUAUAUAACAGAAUACGUUAUAGUUCCUAAGAUAGCCAACAAAAUCCAAAAUGUCUAAACUGAUGAAAUUAAAAUAAAACUGAGACUUAUAUAAAGUAUAAUUCCAUCGAGGUGUAUGUUUUAUACUCUCUUCAUCUAUCUACUCCUUUGAAACCGAAUUUAUCCACCUUUGUAUUAAUUACUGUAAUAAAAUGUUCAUGAAUUGCCCAUCAUCUGUUUCUAAACUUUUUAAUUUUUUAAAAGCUUGAGAUAAAAAUGGGGCUUAUUUGACACUUGGCACAUUAGCAAAACCUACUCUUAAAGGCUGUUUAUUCAAAUGUUGUAACCAAACAUAGAAUACCCAUCAAAUCCAGCUCAAGCUCUUGAAUGUAUAACAGGGAUUGGUUUAUUUCCUGAAUAGGCAGUUUUCUGAGUGUUACUUAUAGCUAGAGCCCUCACACUUUUGUUUUGAACUUUUCCCUUUCUUCUGGACCAUUUAUAUUUCUGCUGUAAAUCUUUGAUACUAUGUAGUCUUUUCACAGAUGCUUUCCAACAGUGAGGGAGCUGGAAUAUCUCCAAAAUAAAUUUUUGACUCAGGCAAGUGCCUUUUUUUAAUGUCCGUGAGUCAGAAGCGCUAAGAAGUUACAGAAACCAGACAGAAAAGCCCUUUUGUUAUCAUCAGCAUUUUUGGAGUUUGCCCACCAGAUGUGUCAUUCAGGAAGACCAAAAGUACAACUGGAUGAUUAUAAGCAAGAUCAAGGACGUCAUCCCUGGCCAAGAGAAGGUUAUGAAGACCAGUAGAACCGUGCAUGAUGGCCUCCCAGUCUACAUGCAGAAUUCAAUGGAAGAUGUGGAGAGCAAGCAGAGUGGCAAAAGCAGUAGCAUCAGUAGCAGCGAAAGCAGCAGCAGCCAUAGUGACACCUUGAGCUUUGACGCAGGCAGCAACAGAGGCCAUGACAACAGUAGCACCCACAGCCAUGGACACACGCCCAGACCAGUAGCAGCCAAACCGCCCCAACAACAGCAGAGAUCCAACAUUCUUUUGAGAUGACGGAAAAAAAAUCUAUGGAAUAUGUGAAAAGUCUGCUGCUGAAAAUAAAUCGGAAUUCCAAUGCCCGAUAGUUACUGACCUAAGGUGAAGUGACCAUUACUCAGUCUUGAUAUUACCAGACGGCACCUGUCAUUCAGAAUACUGGAGAGUCCUAUUCUGUAUCUUGAGCCUCAUGGAAGAAAUGGACAUUGCAGAACGGCUGGUACAUCGAUACUGUUAUGGGUUGUGGAGAAAUUUGAUAGCCAGGCAGAGGAAUUUGGAUGCAGGAGUUCCUGCUGUUCUGGAGCAGGAAUAUGACAGAACCCACUGGUGUUGAUGAGCAGAGGAACAUAGACCACAAGUAUGAGAAUUUGGUCAAAACUGUUGAAGCUCUCACGUCAUGCGCCUGUAGUAAAAUGCAGUGCUCUUUAUGAAGCUGUAAUCCACAAGUUUAGACCAUUGGACCACUGUCUUUAGAUUUUUUGUUGCGAGAUCACAAAUCAUAUUUAACUCGAUAGUUGCUAAUAUAAAAAUCAUAUCAUCUCAUAUUAUUCAUGGUUUCCUAAGAACUUGUUUUGAGACUUGGAAAAGAAUGCCUUUAAGUGUGUCAAAUCCAAUAAACUUUGUGUUUUAAAAAGAAAA
Pteropus alecto (black flying fox) is the source of this 1717-nucleotide long non-coding RNA. RefSeq lists it as uncharacterized. The record is from RefSeq and is a predicted model, not a curated record. NCBI's taxonomy places the organism in Eukaryota, Metazoa, Chordata, Mammalia, Chiroptera, Pteropodidae. The transcript has 6 exons.